AGUAUGGUGAUAGCUGGUUCUCCCCGAAAUGCAUUGAGGUGCAGCCUCAAUCUAAGAACGCAGGGGGUAAAGCACUGACUAGGUAAGGGGGCGGUCCCGCCUACCGAGCUUAAUCAAACUAAGAAUACCUGCGCAUCAUGAUUGGGAGUGAGACUGCGAGUGCGAAGAUCCGUAGUCGAAAGGGAAACAGCCCAGACCACCAGCUAAGGUCCCGAAAUACAGGCUAAGUGGAAAAGGAUGUGGGGAUGCCCAGACAACUAGGAGGUUGGCUCAGAAGCAGCCAUCCUUCAAAGAGUGCGUAACAGCUCACUAGUCGAGUGACCCUGCGCCGAAAAUGUACCGGGGCUAAGCCUGAUACCGAAGCUGCGGAUUUGAAUAUGAUUCAAGUGGUAGGGGAGCGUUGCAUACAGGUAGAAGCCGUACCGUGAGGAACGGUGGACCGUAUGGAAGUGAGAAUGCCGGUGUGAGUAGCGAGAUGUAGGUGAGAAUCCUACACACCGAAAGCCCAAGGAUUCCAGGGGAAGGUUCGUCCGCCCUGGGUAAGUCGGGACCUAACGCGAGGCCGAGAGGCGUAGUGGAUGGCAAGCAGGCGGAAAUUCCUGCACCCGUACAUGGAGCGAAGGAGUGACGGAGAAGGCUAGUAUGACCCUCUUAACGGAUUGAGGGCGAAGCGAGGUACCUGAUGGUUAGGCAAAUCCGGCCAUCGAAAGGGGAAGACGUGACAGGUAAGCGAACGUUUCGGCAAGUAGCGAAGCAUAUGAGGCCAGCUUCCAAGAAAAGCUUCUAAGCCUAUGCAUGUGCGGCCCGUACCAAAACCGACACAGGUGGGCAGGGAGAGUAUCCCGAGGUGAGCGAGAGAACUGUUGCCAAGGAACUCGGCAAAAUGGCUCCGUACGUUCGCAAGAAGGAGCGCUCAUGAAGAGUGAGCCGCAGUGAAGAGGCCCAAGCGACUGUUUAUCAAAAACACAGCUCUCUGCGAAGUCGCAAGACGAAGUAUAGGGGGUGACACCUGCCCGGUGCCGGAAGGUUAAGAGGAUCUGUCAAUCGCAAGAUGAAGCAGUGAGUUGAAGCCCCGGUGAACGGCGGCCGUAACUAUAACGGUCCUAAGGUAGCGAAAUUCCUUGUCGGGU
This 1130-nucleotide ribosomal RNA is filed under the name human gut metagenome. RNAcentral describes it as "bacterial LSU rRNA". It matches the Rfam family "Bacterial large subunit ribosomal RNA", at positions 836 to 1977 of the family's 2925-position model. The record is from RNAcentral.